UUCGCAAUGCCCGAAAGGGUGACGAAGCGACGCCGCGUGGGUGAGGAAGGCCUUCGGGUUGUAAAGCCCUGUCAGGAGUUAAGAAAUGUAAGUGCGCUAAUAUCGCAUUUAUUUGACGAAGGCUCCAAAGGAAGUCACGGCUAACUCUGUGCCAGCAGCCGCGGUAAUACAGAGGUGGCAAGCGUUGUUCGGAAUUAUUGGGCGUAAAGAGCACGUAGGUGGUUUUGUAAGUCAGGUGUGAAAGCCUUCUGUUCAAAGGAAGAACGGCAUCUGAAACUGCAGAUCUUGAGUGUAGGAGGGGAGAGUGGAACUUCUGGUGGAGCGGUGAAAUGCGUAGAUAUCAGAAGGAACGUCGGCGGCGAAAGCGACUCUCUGGCCUAUUACUGACACUGAGGUGCGAAAGUUAGGGGAGCAAACGGGAUUAGAUACCCCGGUAGUCCUAGCCGUAAACGAUGGGCACUAAGUAGAGGGGUUUU
Molecule: ribosomal RNA, 476 nt
Filed under: Candidatus Scalindua brodae
Lineage: Bacteria; Pseudomonadati; Planctomycetota; Candidatus Brocadiia; Candidatus Brocadiales; Candidatus Scalinduaceae
Also listed under: 1 other name
Description: bacterial SSU rRNA
Rfam family: Bacterial small subunit ribosomal RNA
Source: RNAcentral